AUAUUCGUCAAUGAAUCCAGUGACAAUAUUUAUGUGGUAUAUGUCUCAUCAGAAGCUGUAGACAGUUCAGAGAUCCCGUCAAAGAGAACGGGUAUGGAUCCCUCGGUGCAAGCUGGAGAGGUUCUGGAAGAAAACCUAGUAGACUAUGAAUUUGACUACAAUAUGGAUACAGAGCCCAUACUUGAUCCAGUUCCAGAGGUUCCGGUCAGUUCGGAAUUUGCAGAGAUUGAGCCCCCCGGACCCUCCCAACUUACUCCAUCACUAGAAGUUGAGGCACCUACCGUUGCACCUAGCCAGUGGGUUGAAGGAGAAUACUUUCGAGCGCUUUCAAAGGCAGUCAUAUUGAAUAUCAUAUCCAGGUAGCUUAAAAUCACUGAAAGAAGGAGUAUCCUGAAUGGGUAAAUUGUUUUAAAAUGUAGUAUUCGUGCUGAAACUUACGAAUAUAACAAAAGAAAAUCGGGAAAAAUCCGUUAGCAUUGAGCAAUUCGCCACGGAAAUCGAUGAAAGCGGAUGAAAGUGGAUUAAUCUUAAAUUCGCGCGGGAAUGAAUCCUAGGCCAUAUUCGUUCAACAACACAUUGAUUUAAUUGCUAUUUUUCAAACUUUAACUAAUUUUUCUUUCUCAAAGUUUGAGUAAGCUGGGAAUAAGAAAUUGUAUAAAAUACUUUUUAAAAACACAAUACAGAACAGAAUUUAAAUUGGAGCAAUCCUUGUGGCCUAAGAUUUCUCUAGUUAAAUUUUAAAGAUUUUUCGUCGAUUUUUCUGACUAAAAAUGCUUAAUGUGAACAGAUUUUUUCAGCACGAAUACUACAUUUUAAAACAAUUUUCCCAUUGACGAUACUCCUUCUUUAAAAUCUACAUCUUUUCAGAUGUACAACCACACAAACCACCCACGACUUCCCGAAUAUGAAUCGCGCCUGUUCAAUGUUCGCAAGAUUCCACGGAACAAAGGAGGAUCUUCGGAAGUUUGUGCGUAUGGAUGAUUUCAGUUGGAAUUACAAGAAGCGAGGUUAGUACCGUGUAUUUGAGCGGCUGUUAGGGUUCGGCAAUCGAAAUUUUGUGCACCAUGGGUGGAUACGGCAAAUUCGUCGAAUUUGCCGUUUGCCAAAUUUGCCGCAGACAUCAAAAAAUUUGACAAUACAAUUUUGACCAAAACUAUUUGAUUUUGUCCCAAAAAGUGUAGUAAAAUGACACAAAAUUGAGUUAUUUUGAUGCCGAAACUAGGUGUCAGAAAGUCUCAUCGUGGUUUGAUCUACAAAAAUGCGGGAAUGUUUUUCCCAGAAAAAUUGUGACGUCGGCACACUCUUAACCAUGCAUUAUCAGAUGGGAUGUCUGCGUCUCUUCUCCCGAAUUUUUCGUAGAUCAUAGCGAAAUGUGACUUUCUGAUGUCUGUUUAGAAAUGUGUCUGUUGAGAAAUCAGUAGUUUUGGUGCUCCAAAAAACAUUGAAAAAGUAUCACAUUUUUUUGGAGUUUCUUGAGCACGGCAAAUUUUGAGAUUUUUUGCCCUUUUUCAUAUUCAAAACGCCUUUAACCUCAUUGUAAAAGUGCCCGAAAACUUCCAGAGUUACAAGGAAUAGGAACAUAUUCUAAAUUAAUUUCAGGCGAAAAAGUAAUCAAGCCAAUGCCAACUCAUAUCCUUAUGGACGAUCGGAGUGUUUUUUAUAUUCUGAACUGUGUGAAUCCGUAUCUCUACUAUUUUAAGAAAUAUG
Molecule: small RNA, 1707 nt
Filed under: Caenorhabditis elegans
Lineage: Eukaryota; Metazoa; Nematoda; Chromadorea; Rhabditida; Rhabditidae
Description: Unclassified non-coding RNA Y54F10BM.24
Source: RNAcentral